GGAAGGGUUGUAUUUAUUAGAUAAAGAACCAAUAUUUUUGGUGACUCAUAAUAACUUUACGGAUCACAAUAUGUGACAUAUCAUUCAAGUUUCUGACCUAUCAGCUUUAGACGGUAGGGUAUUGGCCUACCGUGGCUAUGACGGGUAACGGGGAAUUAGGGUUCGAUUCCGGAGAGGGAGCCUGAAGAAACGGCUACCACAUCUAAGGAAGGCAGCAGGCGCGCAAAUUACCCAAUCCUAAUACAGGGAGGUAGUGACAAGAAAUAACAAUACAGAACCUUACGGUUUUGUAAUUGGAAUGAGUUAAGUAUAAACCCCUUAACAAGUAUCAAUUGGAGGGCAAGUCUGGUGCCAGCAGCCGCGGUAAUUCCAGCUCCAAUAGCGUAUAUUAAAGUUGUUGCAGUUAAAAAGCUCGUAGUUGGAUUUCUGCUGAUUUUUAUAUAUAAUACUACGGUAUUUAUAUAAAAUCAGCAUAAUCCGCAUUACUUUGAGUAUGCGGAACUUUACUUUGAGAAAAUUAGAGUGCUUAAAGCAGGCAAUUGCCUUGAAUACUCCAGCAUGGAAUAAUAUUAAGGAUUUUUAUCCUUUUUAUUGGUUCUAGGAUAAAAAUAAUGAUUAAUAGGGACAGUUGGGGGCAUUUGUAUUUAACAGUCAGAGGUGAAAUUCUUAGAUUUGUUAAAGACAAACUACUGCGAAAGCAUUUGCCAAGGAUGUUUUCAUUAAUCAAGAACGAAAGCUAGGGGAGGGGUGGUGUUCAUGAGAUAGUGGUAGUUGAUACUCCUUCAGCACCUUAUGAG
This 797-nucleotide ribosomal RNA is filed under the name Cryptosporidium sp. goose genotype II. Its description in RNAcentral is "SSU rRNA". It matches the Rfam family "Eukaryotic small subunit ribosomal RNA", at positions 194 to 1015 of the family's 1831-position model. The record is from RNAcentral. Lineage: Eukaryota; Apicomplexa; Conoidasida; Eucoccidiorida; Cryptosporidiidae.